RNAcentral lists this ribosomal RNA (459 nucleotides) under uncultured bacterium. RNAcentral's name for it is "partial 16S ribosomal RNA". It matches the Rfam family "Bacterial small subunit ribosomal RNA", at positions 338 to 795 of the family's 1533-position model. The record is from RNAcentral.
CCUACGGGGGGCUGCAGUGAGGAAUAUUGGUCAAUGGGCGCGAGCCUGAACCAGCCAAGUAGCGUGAAGGAUGACUGCCCUACGGGUUGUACACUUCUUUUAUAAAGGAAUAAAGUGAGGCACGUGUGCCUUUUUGUAUGUACUUUAUGAAUAAGGAUCGGCUAACUCCGUGCCAGCAGCCGCGGUAAUACGGAGGAUCCGAGCGUUAUCCGGAUUUAUUGGGGUUAAAGGGAGCGUAGUUGGGUUGUUAAGUCAGUUGUGAAAGUUUGCGGCUCAACCGUAAAAUUGCAAUGGAUACUGGCAGUCUUGAGUACAGUUGAGGUAGGCGGAAUUCGUGGUGUAGCGGUGAAAUGCUUGGAUAUCACGAAGAACUCCGAUUGGGAAGGCAGCUUACUAAACUGCCACUGCCAUUGAUGCUCGAAAGUGUGGGUAUCAACAGGAUUAGAUACCCGAGUAGUC